This is a non-coding RNA of Sturnus vulgaris (Common starling), 338 nucleotides long. NCBI's taxonomy places the organism in Eukaryota, Metazoa, Chordata, Aves, Passeriformes, Sturnidae. The record is from RefSeq and is a predicted model, not a curated record.
CGUUCCUGGGAGUUUUAGGAGGGGUUUAGAGGUUCUUUUUUUCUGUGGAAUUCUGGUUUUCCAAGCCAAAACAGUGAUUGAGUUUGGAGUUCUGUUACUGGGUGAGGAAUGAUUGUUCCUGGAAUGUUGGGAGGAGUUGGAGGCUCCUUCAUUCCAUGGAAUUCUGCUUUUCUGAGCCAAAACAUUGACUGGGUUUGGGAUUCUGUUCUGUUGAUGUUCCUCAAUGGUUUUUCCUUCCCUGGUUGUUCCUGGGAGUUUUGGAAGGGUUUGGAGGUUCCUUCAUUCCAUUGAAUUCUGCUUUUCCAAGCUAAAACAGUGAUGGAGUUUGGGAUUCUGUU